GACGAACGCUGGCGGCGUGCUUAACACAUGCAAGUCGAACGGAAAGGCCCUGCUUUUGUGGGGUGCUCGAGUGGCGAACGGGUGAGUAACACGUGAGUAACCUGCCCUUGACUUUGGGAUAACUUCAGGAAACUGGGGCUAAUACCGGAUAGGAGCUCCUGCUGCAUGGUGGGGGUUGGAAAGUUUCGGCGGUUGGGGAUGGACUCGCGGCUUAUCAGCUUGUUGGUGGGGUAGUGGCUUACCAAGGCUUUGACGGGUAGCCGGCCUGAGAGGGUGACCGGCCACAUUGGGACUGAGAUACGGCCCAGACUCCUACGGGAGGCAGCAGUGGGGAGUAUUGCACAAUGGGCGGAAGCCUGAUGCAGCAGCGCCGCGUGCGGGAUGACGGCCUUCGGGUUGUAAACCGCUUUCGCCUGUGACGAAGCGUGAGUGACGGUAAUGGGUAAAGAAGCACCGGCUAACUACGUG
This 468-nucleotide ribosomal RNA is filed under the name uncultured bacterium. RNAcentral describes it as "partial 16S ribosomal RNA". It matches the Rfam family "Bacterial small subunit ribosomal RNA", at positions 28 to 507 of the family's 1533-position model. The record is from RNAcentral.